AAAAAGAACCUGAAACCGUGUACGUACAAGCAGUGGGAGCACCUUCGGGUGUGACUGCGUACCUUUUGUAUAAUGGGUCAGCGACUUAUAUUCUGUAGCAAGGUUAACCGUAUAGGGGAGCCGCAGGGAAACCGAGUCUUAACUGGGCGUUAAGUUGCAGGGUAUAGACCCGAAACCCGGUGAUCUAGCCAUGGGCAGGUUGAAGGUUGGGUAACACUAACUGGAGGACCGAACCGACUAAUGUUGAAAAAUUAGCGGAUGACUUGUGGCUGGGGGUGAAAGGCCAAUCAAACCGGGAGAUAGCUGGUUCUCCCCGAAAGCUAUUUAGGUAGCGCCUCGUGAACUCAUCUUCGGGGGUAGAGCACUGUUUCGGCUAGGGGGUCAUCCCGACUUACCAACCCGAUGCAAACUACGAAUACCGAAGAAUGUUAUCACGGGAGACACACGGCGGGUGCUAACGUCCGUCGUGAAGAGGGAAACAACCCAGACCGCCAGCUAAGGUCCCAAAGUCAUGGUUAAGUGGGAAACGAUGUGGGAAGGCACAGACAGCCAGGAUGUUGGCUUAGAAGCAGCCAUCAUUUAAAGAAAGCGUAAUAGCUCACUGGUCGAGUCGGCCUGCGCGGAAGAUGUAACGGGGCUAAACCAUGCACCGAAGCUGCGGCAGCGACACUAUGUGUUGUUGGGUAGGGGAGCGUUCUGUAAGCCUGCGAAGGUGUGCUGUGAGGCAUGCUGGAGGUAUCAGAAGUGCGAAUGCUGACAUAAGUAACGAUAAAGCGGGUGAAAAGCCCGCUCGCCGGAAGACCAAGGGUUCCUGUCCAACGUUAAUCGGGGCAGGGUGAGUCGACCCCUAAGGCGAGGCCGAAAGGCGUAGUCGAUGGGAAACAGGUUAAUAUUCCUGUACUUGGUGUUACUGCGAAGGGGGGACGGAGAAGGCUAUGUUAGGCCGGGCGACGGUUGUCCCGGUUUAAGCAUGUAGGCUGGUUAUCCAGGCAAAUCCGGAUAAUCAAGGCUGAGGUGUGAUGACGAGGCACUACGGUGCUGAAGUAACAAAUGCCCUGCUUCCAGGAAAAGCCUCUAAGCAUCAGGUAACAUCAAAUCGUACCCCAAACCGACACAGGUGGUCAGGUAGAGAAUACCAAGCGCUUGAGAGAACUCGGGUGAAGGAACUAGGCAAAAUGGUGCCGUAACUUCGGGAGAAGGCACGCUGGUGUGUAGGUGAAGUCCCUGCGGAUGGAGCU
RNAcentral lists this ribosomal RNA (1238 nucleotides) under Klebsiella pneumoniae. Its description in RNAcentral is "bacterial LSU rRNA". It matches the Rfam family "Bacterial large subunit ribosomal RNA", at positions 541 to 1793 of the family's 2925-position model. The record is from RNAcentral. Lineage: Bacteria; Pseudomonadati; Pseudomonadota; Gammaproteobacteria; Enterobacterales; Enterobacteriaceae.